Molecule: ribosomal RNA, 256 nt
Filed under: uncultured bacterium
Lineage: Bacteria
Description: partial 16S ribosomal RNA
Rfam family: Bacterial small subunit ribosomal RNA
Source: RNAcentral
UACGUGGGGUGCAAGCGUUGUCCGGAAUUAUUGGGCGUAAAGAGCUCGUAGGCGGUUUGUCGCGUCUGCUGUGAAAACCCGAGGCUCAACCUCGGGCCUGCAGUGGGGUACGGGCAGACUAGAGUGCGGUAGGGGGAGAUUGGAAUUCCUGGUGUAGCGGUGGAAUGCGCAGAUAUCAGGAGGAACACCAAUGGCGAAGGCAGAUCUCUGGGCCGUAACUGACGCUGGAGGAGCGAAAGCAUGGGGAGCGAACAGG